AGUGAACGCUGGCGGUAGGCCUAACACAUGCAACUCGAACGGCAGCACAGUAAGAGCUUGCUCUUACGGGUGGCGAGUGGCGGACGGGUGAGGAAUACAUCGGAAUCUACUUUUUCGUGGGGGAUAACGUAGGGAAACUUACGCUAAUACCGCAUACGACCUACGGGUGAAAGCAGGGGAUCUUCGGACCUUGCGCGAUUGAAUGAGCCGAUGUCGGAUUAGCUAGUUGGCGGGGUAAAGGCCCACCAAGGCGACGAUCCGUAGCUGGUCUGAGAGGAUGAACAGGCAAAAUGGAAAUGAGGAAAGGGCCAAAAUCCUAAGGGAGGCAGCAGUGGGGAAUAUUGGACAAUGGGCGCAAGCCUGAUCCAGCCAUACCGCGUGGGUGAAGAAGGCCUUCGGGUUGUAAAGCCCUUUUGUUGGGAAAGAAAAGCAGCAGGUUAAUACCCCGCUGUUCUGACGGUACCCAAAGAAUAAGCACCGGCUAACUUCGUG
RNAcentral lists this ribosomal RNA (492 nucleotides) under uncultured bacterium. Its description in RNAcentral is "partial 16S ribosomal RNA". It matches the Rfam family "Bacterial small subunit ribosomal RNA", at positions 29 to 507 of the family's 1533-position model. The record is from RNAcentral.